AGGGUCUGACUCCGGAGAGGGAGCCUGAGAAACGGCUACCACUUCUAAGGAAGGCAGCAGGCGCGCAAAUUACCCACUCCUGGCACAGGGAGGUAGUGACGAAAAAUACCAAGGUCAGGCUCAUCGAGCUUGACCAUUGGAAUGAGAACAAUGUAAAUCCUUUAACGAGGAUCUAGUGGAGGGCAAGUCUGGUGCCAGCAGCCGCGGUAAUUCCAGCUCCGCAAGUGUAUUCCUAUACUGUUGCGUUUAAAUAGCUCGUAGUUGGAUCUGCGUGUUUAGCGCGCGGUGCCAUUUGUUUUGGUUACUGUGUCGCGGCACAGAGCUGCUUGUUGUCGCGAUGCUCUCGCGAGUGUCGUGGUCAUGAGCGAAGUUUACUUUGAACAAAUCAGAGUGCUCAAAACGGGCGUUUCGCUCGAAUGUUCUUGC
RNAcentral lists this ribosomal RNA (426 nucleotides) under Nematoda sp. ex Grus americana W316. Its description in RNAcentral is "bacterial SSU rRNA". It matches the Rfam family "Eukaryotic small subunit ribosomal RNA", at positions 372 to 808 of the family's 1831-position model. Lineage: Eukaryota; Metazoa; Nematoda. The record is from RNAcentral.